GGGUUGUGAGGUUAAGCGACUAAGCGUACACGGUGGAUGCCUAGGCAAUCAGAGGCGAUGAAGGACGUGCUAAUCUGCGAUAAGCGUCGGUAAGGUGAUAUGAACCGUUAUACCCGACGAUUUCCGAAUGGGGAAACCCAGUGCAAUUCGUUGCACUAUCGUUUGAUGAAUACAUAGUCAAACGAAGCGAACCGGGGGAACUGAAACAUCUCAGUACCCCGAGGAAAAGAAAUCAACCGAGAUUCCCCUAGUAGCGGCGAGCGAACGGGGAGCAGCCCAGAGUCUUAAUCAGCAUUAGUAUCAGGAGAACGGUCUGGAAAGUCCGGCAGUAAAGGGUGAUAGCCCCGUAUCUGAAGAUGCUAGUGUUGUGAACUCGACGAGUAGGGCGGGACACGUGUUAUCCUGUCUGAAUAUGGGGGGACCAUCCUCCAAGGCUAAAUACU
Molecule: ribosomal RNA, 443 nt
Filed under: Vibrio parahaemolyticus
Lineage: Bacteria; Pseudomonadati; Pseudomonadota; Gammaproteobacteria; Vibrionales; Vibrionaceae
Description: partial 23S ribosomal RNA
Rfam family: Bacterial large subunit ribosomal RNA
Source: RNAcentral